UCCUCGAUAGCUCAGUUGGUAGAGCAAUCGGCUGUUAACCGAUCGGUCGUAGGUUCGAGUCCUACUCGGGGAGCCA
This 76-nucleotide transfer RNA is filed under the name Escherichia coli. RNAcentral describes it as "tRNA-Asn". It matches the Rfam family "tRNA". Rfam says of the family: Transfer RNA (tRNA) molecules are approximately 80 nucleotides in length. Their secondary structure includes four short double-helical elements and three loops (D, anti-codon, and T loops). Lineage: Bacteria; Pseudomonadati; Pseudomonadota; Gammaproteobacteria; Enterobacterales; Enterobacteriaceae. The record is from RNAcentral. RNAcentral also lists the same sequence under 18 other names.